This 359-nucleotide ribosomal RNA is filed under the name uncultured bacterium. RNAcentral describes it as "partial 16S ribosomal RNA". The record is from RNAcentral.
UCCAAUAUUCCCCACUGCUGCCUCCCGUAGGAGUCUGGACCGUGUCUCAGUUCCAGUGUGACUGAUCAUCCUCUCAGACCAGUUACGGAUCGUCGCCUUGGUAGGCCUUUACCCCACCAACUAGCUAAUCCGACCUAGGCUCAUCUGAUAGCGUGAGGUCCGAAGAUCCCCCACUUUCUCCCUCAGGACGUAUGCGGUAUUAGCGCCCGUUUCCGGACGUUAUCCCCCACUACCAGGCAGAUUCCUAGGCAUUACUCACCCGUCCGCCGCUGAAUCCAGGAGCAAGCUCCCUUCAUCCGCUCGACUUGCAUGUGUUAGGCCUGCCGCCAGCGUUCAAUCUGAGCCAGGAUCAAACCCUC